This 253-nucleotide ribosomal RNA is filed under the name uncultured bacterium. RNAcentral's name for it is "partial 16S ribosomal RNA". It matches the Rfam family "Bacterial small subunit ribosomal RNA", at positions 524 to 776 of the family's 1533-position model. The record is from RNAcentral.
UACGUAGGGUGCGAGCGUUAAUCGGAAUUACUGGGCGUAAAGCGUGCGCAGGCGGUGAUGUAAGACAGUUGUGAAAUCCCCGGGCUCAACCUGGGAACUGCAUCUGUGACUGCAUCGCUGGAGUGCGGCAGAGGGGGAUGGAAUUCCGCGUGUAGCAGUGAAAUGCGUAGAGAUGCGGAGGAACACCGAUGGCGAAGGCAGCCCCCUGGGCCAACACUGACGCUCAGGCACGAAAGCGUGGGGAGCAAACAGG